GAUGAACGCUAGCUACAGGCUUAACACACGCAAGUCGAGGGGAAACGAUAUUGGAAGCUUGCUUCCGAUAGGCGUCGACCGGCGCACGGGUGAGUAACGCGUAUCCAACCUGCCCAUCACUUGGGGAUAACCUUGCGAAAGUAAGACUAAUACCCAAUGACGUCUCUAGAAGACAUCUGAAGGAGAUUAAAGAUUUAUCGGUGAUGGAUGGGGAUGCGUCUGAUUAGCUUGUUGGCGGGGUAACGGCCCACCAAGGCGACGAUCAGUAGGGGAUCUGAGAGGAAGGGCCCCCACAUUGGAACUGAGACACGGUCCAAACUCCUACGGGAGGCAGCAGUGAGGAAUAUUGGUCAAUGGGCGAGAGCCUGAACCAGCCAAGUAGCGUGCAGGAAGACGGCCCUAUGGGUUGUAAACUGCUUUUAUAAGGGAAUAAAGUGGGAGUCGUGACUCCUUUUGCAUGUACCUUAUGAAUAAGGACCGGCUAAUUCCGUGCCAGCCGCCGCCGUAA
This 508-nucleotide ribosomal RNA is filed under the name uncultured bacterium. Its description in RNAcentral is "partial 16S ribosomal RNA". It matches the Rfam family "Bacterial small subunit ribosomal RNA", at positions 28 to 523 of the family's 1533-position model. The record is from RNAcentral.